Oryctolagus cuniculus (rabbit) is the source of this 131-nucleotide small nuclear RNA. Its record names the gene U2. It matches the Rfam family "U2 spliceosomal RNA". From Rfam's summary of the family: U2 is a small nuclear RNA (snRNA) component of the spliceosome (involved in pre-mRNA splicing). The record is from Ensembl. NCBI's taxonomy places the organism in Eukaryota, Metazoa, Chordata, Mammalia, Lagomorpha, Leporidae.
AUCUCUUCUCGGCCUUUUGGCUAAGAUCAAGUGUGAUAUGAUAUGACAUUCACACAAUUUUUAUACUCAGUAUAUAUGCAUACACACACACAAAUACACAUAUAAUAAACACUUUCCUUGGCAUAUCCAUA